Molecule: ribosomal RNA, 624 nt
Filed under: Deronectes moestus
Lineage: Eukaryota; Metazoa; Arthropoda; Insecta; Coleoptera; Dytiscidae
Also listed under: 1 other name
Description: partial 16S ribosomal RNA
Rfam family: Bacterial large subunit ribosomal RNA
Source: RNAcentral
GUCCUUUAGGAUAAAUAAUUUAAGGUCUAACCUGCCCACUGAUAAAUUUAAAGGCCGCAGUAAUUUGACUGUGCAAAGGUAGCAUAAUCAUUAGUUUUUUAAUUAAAAGCUUGUAUGAAUGGUUGGACGAGAUAAAAUCUGUCUCUAUUUAAUAAUUAGAAUUUAAUUUUUAAGUUAAAAAGCUUAAAUUAAUAUAAAAGACGAGAAGACCCUAUAGAUCUUAAUAUAGAAUUUUAAAAUUUUAUUUAAGAUUUUUUUAUUAAUUUUAUUAUUUUAUAUUUUAUUGGGGUAAUAAAAAGAUUAAAUUAAUUCUUUUUCAUAUUAUACAAUAAUAAUUGGUUAUUUGAUCCAUUAAUAGUGAUUAUAAGAUUAAGUUACCUUAGGGAUAACAGCGUAAUUUUUUUAGAGAGUUCAUAUCGAUAAAAAAGUUUGCGACCUCGAUGUUGGAUUAAAAAUUAUUUCGGGUGUAGAAGUUCGAAGUUUUGGUCUGUUCGACCAUUAAAUUUUUACAUGAUCUGAGUUCAGACCGGUGUAAGCCAGGUCGGUUUCUAUCUUUAUUAGAUUUAUAUAUUUUAGUACGAAAGGACCAAAUAUUUGAUAUAUUAAUAUUUAUAUUUUGAUUAA